Molecule: transfer RNA, 64 nt
Filed under: uncultured Eubacterium sp.
Lineage: Bacteria; Bacillati; Bacillota; Clostridia; Eubacteriales; Eubacteriaceae
Rfam family: tRNA
About the family: Transfer RNA (tRNA) molecules are approximately 80 nucleotides in length.
Source: RNAcentral
CGAUAGCUCAGUUGGUAGAGCGACGCACUCGUAAUGCGUAGGUCGUGGGUUCAAGUCCCAUUCG